Molecule: non-coding RNA, 145 nt
Filed under: Otolemur garnettii (small-eared galago)
Lineage: Eukaryota; Metazoa; Chordata; Mammalia; Primates; Galagidae
Source: Rfam by way of RNAcentral
GCCAGGUGUUGUGACGGGCGCCUGUAAUCCCAGCUACUUGGGAGGCUGAGGUGGGAGAAUCACCUAAGCCCAGGAGUUGGAGAGUGCUGUGAGCUGUGACUUCACAGCACUCUACCACGGGCAAUAAAGUGAGACUCUGUCUCUA